This 377-nucleotide ribosomal RNA is filed under the name uncultured bacterium. Its description in RNAcentral is "bacterial SSU rRNA". It matches the Rfam family "Bacterial small subunit ribosomal RNA", at positions 29 to 407 of the family's 1533-position model. The record is from RNAcentral.
AUUGAACGCUGGCGGCAUGCCUUACACAUGCAAGUCGAACGGCAGCGCGGGAGCAAUCCUGGCGGCGAGUGGCGAACGGGUGAGUAAUAUAUCGGAACGUGCCCAGUAGUGGGGGAUAGCCCGGCGAAAGCCGGAUUAAUACCGCAUGAGACCUGAGGGUGAAAGCGGGGGAUCGCAAGACCUCGCGCUAUUGGAGCGGCCGAUAUCAGAUUAGCUAGUUGGUGGGGUAAAGGCCUACCAAGGCAACGAUCUGUAGUUGGUCUGAGAGGACGACCAGCCACACUGGGACUGAGACACGGCCCAGACUCCUACGGGAGGCAGCAGUUGGGAAUUUUGGACAAUGGGCGCAAGCCUGAUCCAGCAAUGCCGCGUGCAGG